Molecule: transfer RNA, 82 nt
Organism: Aspergillus wentii DTO 134E9
Lineage: Eukaryota; Fungi; Ascomycota; Eurotiomycetes; Eurotiales; Aspergillaceae
Rfam family: tRNA
About the family: Transfer RNA (tRNA) molecules are approximately 80 nucleotides in length. Their secondary structure includes four short double-helical elements and three loops (D, anti-codon, and T loops). Further hydrogen bonds mediate the characteristic L-shaped molecular structure. tRNAs have two regions of fundamental functional importance: the anti-codon, which is responsible for specific mRNA codon recognition, and the 3' end, to which the tRNAs corresponding amino acid is attached (by aminoacyl-tRNA synthetases). tRNAs cope with the degeneracy of the genetic code in two manners: having more than one tRNA (with a specific anti-codon) for a particular amino acid; and 'wobble' base-pairing, i.e. permitting non-standard base-pairing at the 3rd anti-codon position.
Source: Rfam
GACACUAUGGCCGAGCGGUCUAAGGCGGCAGCCUAGAAAGCUGUUCUCUUCGGGGGCGUCGGUUCGAGUCCGACUGGUGUCG